Molecule: ribosomal RNA, 501 nt
Filed under: uncultured bacterium
Lineage: Bacteria
Description: partial 16S ribosomal RNA
Rfam family: Bacterial small subunit ribosomal RNA
Source: RNAcentral
AUUGAACGCUGGCGGCAUGCCUUACACAUGCAAGUCGAACGGCAGCACGGGUGCUUGCACCUGGUGGCGAGUGGCGAACGGGUGAGUAACACAUCGGAACGUACCUUAUCGUGGGGGAUAACGCAGCGAAAGCUGAGCUAAUACCGCAUACGCCCUGAGGGGGAAAGCGGGGGAUCGCAAGACCUCGCGCGAUUAGAGCGGCCGAUGCCUGAUUAGCUUGUUGGUGGGGUAAAAGCCCACCAAGGCGACGAUCAGUAGCUGGUCUGAGAGGACGAUCAGCCACACUGGGACUGAGACACGGCCCAGACUCCUACGGGAGGCAGCAGUGGGGAAUUUUGGACAAUGGGGGCAACCCUGAUCCAGCAAUGCCGCGUGAGUGAAGAAGGCCUUCGGGUUGUAAAGCUCUUUUGUCAGGGAAGAAACACCGGCUCUAACACAGUCUGGGAAUGACGGUACCUGAAGAAUAAGCACCGGCUAACUACGUGCCAGCCGCCGCCGUAA